Molecule: transfer RNA, 77 nt
Filed under: Candidatus Doudnaibacteriota bacterium
Lineage: Bacteria; Candidatus Doudnaibacteriota
Description: Candidatus Doudnabacteria bacterium (hot springs metagenome) tRNA-Arg
Rfam family: tRNA
About the family: Transfer RNA (tRNA) molecules are approximately 80 nucleotides in length. Their secondary structure includes four short double-helical elements and three loops (D, anti-codon, and T loops). Further hydrogen bonds mediate the characteristic L-shaped molecular structure. tRNAs have two regions of fundamental functional importance: the anti-codon, which is responsible for specific mRNA codon recognition, and the 3' end, to which the tRNAs corresponding amino acid is attached (by aminoacyl-tRNA synthetases). tRNAs cope with the degeneracy of the genetic code in two manners: having more than one tRNA (with a specific anti-codon) for a particular amino acid; and 'wobble' base-pairing, i.e. permitting non-standard base-pairing at the 3rd anti-codon position.
Source: RNAcentral
GGCCUCGUAGCUCAGUGGAUUAGAGCGUCUCCCUCCGAAGGAGAAGGUCGCAGGUUCGAUUCCUGCCGAGGUCACCA